This 148-nucleotide non-coding RNA is filed under the name Gymnodinium catenatum. The record is from RNAcentral. Lineage: Eukaryota; Dinophyceae; Gymnodiniales; Gymnodiniaceae.
AGUCCAAAGAGCGAGGAGAGCCAGGACUCCGACGUCCAGAGCUUGGGGUCGAUCGACCGACUGGUCGAAGAGCACGGGUCCGUCGACUUGUACAACAGUUAUUUGACCGCCGAGCGCGAGAACUUCGGGCACCGGUGAGAUGGCACAU